This 78-nucleotide transfer RNA is filed under the name Methanolobus sp. RNAcentral's name for it is "tRNA-Pro". It matches the Rfam family "tRNA". Rfam says of the family: Transfer RNA (tRNA) molecules are approximately 80 nucleotides in length. Lineage: Archaea; Methanobacteriati; Methanobacteriota; Methanomicrobia; Methanosarcinales; Methanosarcinaceae. The record is from RNAcentral. RNAcentral also lists the same sequence under 1 other name.
GGGAUCGUAGGGUAGCCUGGUCCAUCCUGUUAGGCUGGGGGUCUAGCGACUGGAGUUCAAAUCUCCACGAUCCCACCA